AGAGUUUGAUCCUGGCUCAGGAUGAACGCUGGCGGCGUGCCUAACACAUGCAAGUCGAACGAAGCGCCCGCGCGGAUUCCCUCGGGAUGAAGCGCGGAUGACUGAGUGGCGGACGGGUGAGUCACGCGUGGGCAACCUGCCCCGUGCCGGGGGACAACAGCCGGAAACGGCUGCUAAUACCGCAUGAUCCGGAAGGGCCGCAUGGCCUUUCCGGGAAAGCUCCGGCGGCACGGGAUGGGCCCGCGUCUGAUUAGUUUGUUGGCGGGGUAACGGCCCACCAAGACUGCGAUCAGCAGCCGGCCUGAGAGGGCGGCCGGCCACAUUGGGACUGAGACACGGCCCAGACUCCUGCGGGAGGCAGCAGUGGGGAAUAUUGCACAAUGGGGGAAACCCUGAUGCAGCGACGCCGCGUGGGCGACGAAGCGCUCCGGCGCGUAAAGCCCUGUCAGCAGGGAAGAACAAAGACAGUACCUGACCAAGAAGCCCCGGCUAACUACGUGCCAGCAGCCGCGGUAAUACGUAGGGGGCAAGCGUUAUCCAGAUUCACUGGGCGUAAAGGGAGCGCAGGCGGCGCGGCAAGUCUGGUGUGAAAGCCCGGGGCCCAACCCCGGGACUGCAUUGGAAACUGCCGGGCUGGAGUGCCGGAGGGGUAAGCGGAAUUCCUGGUGUAGCGGUGAAAUGCGCAGAUAUCAGGAAGAACACCGGUGGCGUAGGCGGCUUACUGGACGGCAACUGACGCUGAGGCUCGAAAGCGUGGGGAGCAAACAGGAUUAGAUACCCUGGUAGUCCACGCCGUAAACGA
RNAcentral lists this ribosomal RNA (802 nucleotides) under uncultured bacterium. RNAcentral's name for it is "bacterial SSU rRNA". It matches the Rfam family "Bacterial small subunit ribosomal RNA", at positions 8 to 809 of the family's 1533-position model. The record is from RNAcentral.